UUUCAAACACCAAGCAAACAUCAUUUCACUAAUUAGCCACAUUCAAUUGUUGAGAGUGCUAAUUACUUAACUCUUAGAAAUGGCUAAGUUUGCUAUAUCCUCCAUUGCCCUUCUUCUCACUUUGAACAUUCUCUUCUUCACUAUGGUUAGUUCCACUAAUGUCCCAUGCCCACCACCUCCCCACUCCAAGCCCCACCCUACCCCUAAGCCCCACCCCAUCAUCAAAGGGUAAGUGCUCAAAGGACACACUUAAGCUAAAAGUAUGUGCUAACUUAUUGAAUGACUUAGUGCACCUUGUUAUUGGAAGUGAUCCAGCCAAGACUCCAUGUUGUUCUCUAAUUCAUGGACUUGCUGAUCUUGAUGCCGCUGUUUGCCUUUGCACUGCAAUUAAAGCCAAUUUAUUGGGAAUUAACCUCAACGUACCUCUUUCCCUCAGUUUGUUGCUCAACAACUGUGGAAAGUAUGUUCCUAAGGACUUCCAAUGCGCAUAAACUAGCUAGCCAAAUUUCGUCUCUUUCAGAAAAUUUACGCUUUAUAUAUUUUUCUUUCAGUGUGUUUGGUGUUUUGUAUGCUUAUAGUUUUCUUGUAUUUUCAAAGGAAGUAUAUUGUAUUCUAAUUGGUUAGAAGGGAAGGAUAGUUGCAUGCCUUCUUUUCGUUGUAUUAUCACAUUUUAAAUGAGUAAUAAAUGACGUAUUGUGGAGUUUAUAGUA
Nicotiana tabacum (common tobacco) is the source of this 710-nucleotide non-coding RNA. Lineage: Eukaryota; Viridiplantae; Streptophyta; Magnoliopsida; Solanales; Solanaceae. The record is from RefSeq and is a predicted model, not a curated record.